This 868-nucleotide ribosomal RNA is filed under the name uncultured archaeon. RNAcentral's name for it is "bacterial SSU rRNA". It matches the Rfam family "Archaeal small subunit ribosomal RNA", at positions 1 to 878 of the family's 1478-position model. The record is from RNAcentral.
CUCCGGUUGAUCCCGCCGGACCCGACUGCUAUCAGAGUGGGACUAAGCCAUGCGAGUCAACAUAGCAAUAUGUGGCAUACGGCUCAGUAACACGUAGUCAACAUGCCCAGGGGACGUGGAUAACCUCGGGAAACUGAGGAUAAACCGCGAUAGGUCAUCACUUCUGGAAUGGGUAAUGACUUAAAUCUAUAUGGCCCCUGGAUUGGACUGCGGCCGAUCAGGCUGUUGGUGAGGUAAUGGCCCACCAAACCUGUAACCGGUACGGGCUCUGAGAGGAGGAGCCCGGAGAUGGGCACUGAGACAAGGGCCCAGGCCCUAUGGGGCGCAGCAGGCGCGAAACCUCUGCAAUAGGCGAAAGCUUGACAGGGUUACUCUGAGUGAUUUCCGUUAAGGAGAUCUUUUGGCACCUCUAAAAGUGGUGCAGAAUAAGGGGUGGGCAAGUCUGGUGUCAGCCGCCGCGGUAAUACCAGCACCCCGAGUGGUCGGGACGUUUAUUGGGCCUAAAGCAUCCGUAGCCGGUUCUACAAGUCUUCCGUUAAAUCCACCUGCUUAACAGAUGGGCUGCGGAAGAUACUAUAGAGCUAGGAGGCGGGAGAGGCAAGCGGUACUCGAUGGGUAGGGGUAAAAUCCGUUGAUCCAUUGAAGACCACCAGUGGCGAAGGCGGCUUGCCAGAACGCGCUCGACGGUGAGGGAUGAAAGCUGGGGGAGCAAACCGGAUUAGAUACCCGGGUAGUCCCAGCUGUAAACGAUGCAGACUCGGUGAUGAGUUGGCUUAUUGCUAACUCAGUGCCGCAGGGAAGCCGUUAAGUUUGCCGCCUGGGGAGUACGGUCGCAAGACUGAAACUUAAAGGAUUUGGCGGGGGAGCA